GAUUCUGUGUUUCAACAAGCAAAACAACUGAUUCUGAGAAGGUGUAUUAUAGACAAGAAAUUGAGAAACACUAGCUUAUAGGGUUAGGUGGGAGUUAAUCAGGAUGACAGCAAACCUAGAAUGCACAGAAAGACUCUAAGCACUUGGACAAAGUGCUAUGCUUUUUACCUUUUGAUUGUGGUGCCUGGACAUAUUUCUGUGUCUCAAACAGUGCUUGAAUAAGUGGGAAGAAUUACAUGUUUUAGAAUUUUGAAAAUCUUACACUAGUUAGAAAACAUCUCCUACAUCACAUGUUCAGACAUGAGUUCAAUUCUUCACUAGGAUGGAAUUAUAUAAAGUGACUGCACUGUUGAUGAAAUUCUAAGCCAUGGUAUACAAAUCACAAUGUAAUCAAGUAAUUCUUUUAAGCCUAGAAGGAAGAACUCUCAGGGCCAUUGUUUCAAUAUUUACAGAUAUUUGCAAAUAUAGUGGAAGUGAGUUUUUUCUUUAACUCUAGAGGGCAGGACUCAUAUCAAUGAGUAGGAAUUAGAGGAACUUAAAUUUUGGCUCAGUACAAUAGCAUUUUCCAAAGAGUAGAGCUUUCUGAGGAGGAAAUGGACUGCCCAUUAAAGCCCUGAUUUUUCUCAGAAUGUGUUUAAGCAGAAUUUGGAUUAUCAUUUGUCUGAGAUGAUAUAGAGGAACUUGUACACCAUUUUUGAGACCGAAUAAGAUACUUUCUAAGCAUCAGUUGAUAUUUUUUCAAAAAAUGAAACUUUAAGAAUUUGAUUUUUUUUAAUUAAAAAUGCUCUGAUCAAAGUACUCUGUGAUCUCUUGCAACCUGUAAAAAUCAUAUGAACUAUUUACUCAAAUUUACUUGAAAUUGGAAAAAAACUAAAAUAUGGCUAAACAGUGUACUUUGGGGAAAAAUGACCUUAAAAUGAAAACUUUUUUUUUUAAAUUAGAAGUAGAAUUGACAAAGACAUUGAAUAACACCAUUGAUGGCAGGUGCAUUAGAUAAAAGCAGCAGGAGUCUGGCUGCAGUAAAGCUUCUAAUCCUUUUCACCACAGGGGCUUUCUCUGCUGUGUUCUCGAGUAAUCCCUGUUAACAAUCAGAUUGAUAGAAAUGAGUACCAUGGUUCUAAAUGCUAAUCCAUCUCCCUCUCUUUCCAGGGCUUCACUUAUCUCAGCACCAUAUAUCCCUGCUUAGCCAGCCUCUGUCGGCCUUCUCCAGAUUUUAAUCAGGUAUUGGCACUUGGCCCUUAGUGAUUUGGCAUCAGAGGAACUUUGCAUGCAAUGCUGAGGAGUUAAUUUAACCUUGAUCACAGUUUAUCAUAAUGUUUUGUUGUUGGCUUAGUUUAUCUCUGGGGAAAGAGUUUUUACUGAUAACUCUAUUCAUAAUUAUUAACAGAUUAUACCAAACAAAAAGUGCAUGUGGAGUGACACUAGCCCUCUUCUGCGAUACCUAACCAAGUUUUGGGAAAUUCAAAAAAGACAGCACAAUCUACCGUCACAGUUGUCCAUAGCAAUAUUUGCAAACAAAAAUAGGCUUUCUCAAUGUCAUAGAUUAUUAAUAUCUAACAUUUUGAUCCACAUUUUAUUUCCAUAUUUAGAUAUAUUCUUUGCACUAGGACAAUUUCCUCAUAAGAAUAUUAUUUCCAAAAUAUAUUUCAAACAUCUAGUCUAAGGUAAAAUAAUGUGGCUUUUUCUUUCACUUUAAAAAAAAUGUUUAAGGCAGGAUGGUUGGAAUAGAUAUUAACAAUUUAACCCUAAUUAGUAUGUUUAGUUUGGAAGAACUUGCUUUCCAACAAGAUCUCAGGAUUAUCAUGAUUUUAGUGAUCUUUCUCAAAAUCAUAAAAUCCAUUCGAGAAAUAAAACUUUAAAGAACUUUAAAAUAUGGUGAUUGCAUAAACCUCAUGUGCUUUGAAAUGGAAUAAUAAACUACUACUGAAAGGUAUAUCCAAAUUAGCAGCAAUAGAUCCAUAAUAUAUCCAUAAUUAUCGGCUAACUAGCUUUAGAAUGAGCAUUGUUUCAUUUUUAUUUUAUGUUUCCUAAGACUUCACACAAUUCCUGAAAGACUAUUUCAAUAAUGAUGUAAAUAACUUAAUAAUUUAUUCUGUCUGAGAAAUAGAAAAUACUAUAAAUAUUUAGCAAAUCAAGCUAAGAAAUAAUUAGUGGUAACUCUUAUACAUGGUUGUAAAGUGUUGAUCAAUAAAGUGCCUUAUGUAAAUAUAUGUGUGUGUGUAUAUAUAUCUAUAAUACACAUACAAUAUAAUAUAUAAAAGAUAUAUAUUAUUAUGCAUAUAUAUAAAGGAUAUAUGUGAUUAUUUAUAUAUACAUACAUAUUCUGCUUUAAUUUUACAUAUUCAACAUUGCUAAGAGAAAUUAUAAAUAUUAUGGCUUAUGCAAACAUUUACUAAUGAUGAAAACCAGAUUCUAUUUAUUUCAGUGCUUAAAAUUAAUUUAAAUUUUCUAUUAUUACAUUAUUAAAUAUGCCUCAUAUUUUAUAAAACUCUGAAUAUAUAAAUAAUUUUAAGAAUUAUAUUUUUUAAAAAUGAAGAUAUAGUUUUCUUAUUUAUAAGUAGUAGACCAAUUAAUUUAAAAUGUAUUUUCUCCUAAGAUUUUAAAAACUAACUAAAUAAAACAUUAUUAAAUCACUUCACUUGUGAUUUUAGACAAUGAUACAUUUUUUAAUUUAAUCAAAAAAUCAGAAUUCAGGGCAGAGCUAAUUCCUUCUCUAAUAAGGUAAGCUCAUUUUAAAAGGAUUUUUAUCAAGCAUUUAAGAAAAAUAAAAUUUUGAUUAAAAUAUAUUGAGUUUUGUUGCAAUGACUCAAAAAGACAAAUUCAGAUUUCUAAAACUUACUUAGAAAAAAUCUGAAUUACUUCUUUAAUGUUUUGAAGUAUAUUAUGAAAAGAGUACUUAUUUUAUAAAAUUAUAAGAUAAUGAAAAUAUUUCUAUUAUUUCCUUACUUUUGAAAGGUGUAUAUACAUAUCGAGCAGUGAUCAUUGCUCAUACAACCAGGACAGCAUAAGCGCAGGGUCAAUUUUUUUUUUAAGAUAAAAUAUUGUUUUGAAACCCAGAGAACAAGGAAAGUGAAACUCAGAUUGGCAUUUGAAUUCAGAUUGGCAUUUGAACCCACUGUCUUUUGAUUAAAAUCACACACCUAGACUCUGGCCUCAACUGAAGCUCAGCACAGAAUGGAAUCCAGCAGGAAGCUAAAUGACAGGUAAGAAGUAGAUUUAAUGAGAGAGAUAGACAGAGUGUGGGCCAUCUCAGAAGGUGAGAGAAAAGACCCCAAACAUGAGAUGGUUAGUGUAUAUGAGCUGGUUGAUUUCAUAGGCUAACAAAUAGGAGGAUUAUUCUAGCUAUUUUAAGGAAAAGUCAGGAAAUUUCAGGAACUGGUCUACUGUCCACUUUUUGGCCUUUUAUGGUCAGCCUUGGAACUGUCAUGGUGCCUGUGAUUGUGUCAUUUAGAUGGUAAUGUGUUACAGUGAGCAUAAAAUGAGACUCAAGUUCCACUGGAAGUUGAAAUCUCUGCCAUUUUAAGCCUAGUCAAUUCUAACCAGUAUCCUCAAUGGCUAUGUCCUUCUCUUAAAGGUUGUGCCCUGCCCCCUUUCCUCCUGUUUCAGAAGUAACUAAAUGAAAAAGAGAGGUAAAGUUUGCUUUUGAAGAUAAGGAGUACAGCUGAUUCUCUAAGAUUAGAGGAAAAGAAGGGGUAUGUUUGUGAUUAACUUAUACAUGAAAUAAGGAAAACUGGGAGUGGAGGGUGAUAUUUUAUAACUUUAGUUGUUUUAACAAACUUGGCAGCUCUAUUUCCAAAAGAGCAUACUAGAUUUUUGGAGUACACUAGUACUAAUGGGAACAUUUCUCUUCUGCUCCUAUCCAUAGCCAUUUGUGGAUAAAUAGUGUAUCAGAUGAAGGAUAAUGUGAGUGCUAGAUGAGGUGGAGAUGGAAAUAAAAAGCUCACAAAUAGCCCUCAUAAAAACAAAAGCAAUAAUGCAAACCAGAGACAAAGUGAAGGAUGUAACCUGAAUUAGACAGUUCCACCACAGAAAAAGAUUCUCCAAAACACUUCUUUUUCUUACCAGCAUCAGAAAAAAAAUUACUUAUUUUUGAUUUCCACAAACAAGAGAUGAAAAAGAAAAAAUGUGUUUUCUGAUUUAAAAGUCUUCAGGGUAGAAAACACAAUAGAAAAUAGCAGAUCAUAUAGUUCUAUGGGCCUGUCUUUCCACAAAAAAAUUAAAAAUCCAGAAAAUGUUCUAUGAAUAAAUUUUGUCAGAACUCUAGAAAGCAGUCAAAGUUUACAGGAACCAAAAUAAUGCUGAAUUAACACAAAGGCAACUUACAGAUAGUAGGGAAGCUUUGUGAUGUUUCUGGUAGUCCUGCCCAAACCCCUUCCCUGGCUCAGUGUAGUCUUUAGGAUGGAAGCAUGAGUUCCCUGUGUGGGAUGUUGGUCACUGGUUCUGAAGGGAGCAGAGUAGACCCUGUGUUCAAUGAAUUGUGUUUGUCUGGUCUGUUCUGUCCAGCGACUACUUAAAGGGGUGAUACAAGGAGCUUGUCUUUGUUUCAACUAACUAAGAACCCAGAAAAGUUCUGAGUUAGAGGUAAGAAUUCCCUGAAAACAAGGUAAAACAAAAAGCCAACAUGUAGCUGCCUGAGGCAAAAUAUUUCAGAUGAGGUGAACAAGGGCAGUGACUGCCUGGGAUGGACACUUGGGAAGAAAUUGUCUUUGGCAAACUAAGAACUCAAAAGCACUUAUGUAUGCAGGGGAAUUUACAAAGCCACAUGCAAUCCCCAAGUAGGACACAUGUUCAGAAAAGACCAGAA
Molecule: long non-coding RNA, 4804 nt
Filed under: Sus scrofa (pig)
Lineage: Eukaryota; Metazoa; Chordata; Mammalia; Artiodactyla; Suidae
Description: lncRNA (ENSSSCG00000058731.1)
Source: RNAcentral